UAGCGAAGGGGGCUAGCGUUGCUACGGAAUCACUGGGCGUAAAGGGCGCGUAGGCGGACUUUUAAGUCAGGGGUGAAAUCCUGAGGCUCAACCUCAGAACUGCCUUUGAUAACUGAGGGUCUCGGAGACCGGGUAGAGGUAAGUGGAACUGCGAGUGUAGAGGUGAAAUUCGUAGAUAUUCGCAAGAACACCAGUGGCGAAGGCGGCUUACUGGACCGGUUCUGACGCUGAGG
This 233-nucleotide ribosomal RNA is filed under the name uncultured bacterium. RNAcentral describes it as "partial 16S ribosomal RNA". It matches the Rfam family "Bacterial small subunit ribosomal RNA", at positions 523 to 751 of the family's 1533-position model. The record is from RNAcentral.